GUGCCAGCAGCCGCGGUAAUACCGGCAGCCCAAGUGAUGGCCGAUCUUAUUGGGCCUAAAGCGUCCGUAGCUGGCCAUGCAAGUCCAUCGGGAAAUCCACCUGCCCAACAGGUGGGCGCCCGGUAGAAACUGCGUGGCUUGGGACCGGAAGGCGCGACGGGUACGUCCGGGGUAGGAGUGAAAUCCCGUAAACCUUGACGGACCGCCGGUGGCCAAAGCACGUCGCGAGAGCGGAUUCCGACAGUGAGGGACGAAAGCCAGGGUCUCGAACCGGAUUAGAAACCCCAGUAGUCC
Molecule: ribosomal RNA, 294 nt
Filed under: uncultured prokaryote
Description: partial 16S ribosomal RNA
Rfam family: Archaeal small subunit ribosomal RNA
Source: RNAcentral